RNAcentral lists this microRNA precursor (93 nucleotides) under Canis lupus familiaris (dog). RNAcentral describes it as "mir-8799 microRNA precursor family". It matches the Rfam family "mir-8799 microRNA precursor family". RNAcentral also lists the same sequence under 1 other name. Lineage: Eukaryota; Metazoa; Chordata; Mammalia; Carnivora; Canidae. The record is from Rfam by way of RNAcentral.
AGGGGGAGUGCAGCAUCCUGGGCUGUGUCCCCUGGCGCCCUGGGAUCUGGGGCCUGUGCUGCUGGAAUUGCACUCCUGGGGCCACAGCUCCCA